AGUGAACGCUGGCGGUAGGCCUAACACAUGCAAGUCGAACGGCAGCACAGUAAGAGCUUGCUCUUACGGGUGGCGAGUGGCGGACGGGUCAGGAAUACAUCGGAAUCUACUUUUUCGUGGGGGAUAACGUAGGGAAACUUACGCCAAUACCGCAUACGACCUACGGGUGAAAGCAGGGGAUCUUCGGACCUUGCGCGAUUCAAUGAGCCGAUGUCGGAUUAGCUAGUUGGCGGGGUAAAGGCCCACCAAGGCGACGAUCCGUAGCUGGUCUGAGAGGAUGAUCGGCCACACUGGAACUGAGACACGGUCCAGACUCCUACGGGAGGCAGCAGUGGGGAAUAUUGGACAAUGGGCGCAAGCCUGAUCCAGCCAUACCGCGUGGGUGAAGAAGGCCUUCGGGUUGUAAAGCCCUUUUGUUGGGAAAGAAAAGCAGCAGGUUAAUACCCCGCUGUUCUGACGGUACCCAAAGAAUAAGCACCGGCUAACUUCGUG
This 492-nucleotide ribosomal RNA is filed under the name uncultured bacterium. RNAcentral describes it as "partial 16S ribosomal RNA". It matches the Rfam family "Bacterial small subunit ribosomal RNA", at positions 29 to 507 of the family's 1533-position model. The record is from RNAcentral.